This is a non-coding RNA of Paramuricea clavata, 416 nucleotides long. The record is from the annotation of a GenBank genome assembly. NCBI's taxonomy places the organism in Eukaryota, Metazoa, Cnidaria, Anthozoa, Malacalcyonacea, Plexauridae.
UGACACACUGGUCUCAAUGAUCUCCCAUGUGAACAGGAGUGCUGGAUGGGAGUUAUUAACAAAGUUAAUAAAACGUUCCAAUUCAACACGAGAACAUGAUGCGGUGCCGAGACAGUCAUCUAUGCAGGCUUUCUUGUCAUCCUACUUUUUCCUACUUUUCCUAUUUUUCCUAUUUUUUAUUAUAAUUGCUUGACUUUCCAACUUUCUCCUACUUUUUCUCAUAAAAUACUACUUUUUUAAGACAGCUUGGGAAUUCAGUAUGUUAUAGCUCUCGUAAUUAGAUCUAUAGGACUCGCAAUUUUUAUUCCCUAUUUGUGUCCCAGAUGAUAAGAUCUCAGGAAGAAAAGAAGUAGCCUACAUUUUCCGAGUAUAAAUUUCAUAACAUCUCUAGAUACUCUGAAAAUGUUAUUUCCCGA